Molecule: ribosomal RNA, 254 nt
Filed under: uncultured bacterium
Lineage: Bacteria
Description: partial 16S ribosomal RNA
Rfam family: Bacterial small subunit ribosomal RNA
Source: RNAcentral
UACGUAGGGGGCGAGCGUUGUCCGGAUUUAUUGGGCGUAAAGAGCUCGUAGGCGGUUCGGUAAGUCGGAUGUGAAAACUCCAGGCUCAACUUGGAGACGCCAUUCGAUACUGCGAUGCCUUGAGUCCGGUAGGGGAGUGUGGAAUUCCUGGUGUAGCGGUGAAAUGCGCAGAUAUCAGGAGGAACACCGGCGGCGAAGGCGGCACUCUGGGCCGGUACUGACGCUGAGGAGCGAAAGCGUGGGUAGCAAACAGG